This 339-nucleotide unclassified non-coding RNA is filed under the name soil metagenome. RNAcentral describes it as "partial contains 5.8S ribosomal RNA, internal transcribed spacer 2, and large subunit ribosomal RNA". The stretch from base 1 to 120 matches the Rfam family "5.8S ribosomal RNA", at positions 35 to 154 of the family's 154-position model. The record is from RNAcentral.
GAUGAAGAACGUAGCGAAAUGCGAUACGUAGUGUGAAUUGCAGAAUUCAGUGAAUCAUCGAAUCUUUGAACGCACAUUGCACCUCUCGGUAUUCCGGGAGGUAUGCCUGUUCGAGCGUCAUUUGUACCCUCAAGCUCUGCUUGGUGUUGGGUGUUUGUUCCGCCUCUGUGUGUGAACUCGCCUCAAAACAAUUGGCAGCCGGCGUACUUGUUUCGGAGCGCAGCACAUUUUGCGAUCCAGAUCAACGUACAGCGGCAUCCAAGAAGCCUUAUUUAACGCUCUUGACCUCGGAUCAGGUAGGGAUACCCGCUGAACUUAAGCAAAUCAAUAAGCGGAGGA